CCGCAGUCUCUGGCAGUUCCCCAGGCCCUGACUUUCACCCCCUUGUGUUUUCCAGGCCGUCUUCGUCGCCACCUUCGACGUGUCCUCUGAGGCCGACCUGGAGUACAGGCUGCAGAUCACUGCCAAGGCCAGCAGUGACAAUGGCGGCCCCACCACCGAGCGCAUGAUUCACCGGGCGGAGCUGCCAGUCAAGUACGGCAUCUUCAUCAUCCUCACCAGCCUCGAGGAGUCGACCAAGUACGUCAACUUCUCCACCGAGGAGGCAGGGACAAGUGUGCCAGUGACACAUCGGUAC
RNAcentral lists this long non-coding RNA (295 nucleotides) under Chrysemys picta bellii (western painted turtle). RNAcentral describes it as "lncRNA (ENSCPBG00000006375.1)". Lineage: Eukaryota; Metazoa; Chordata; Testudines; Emydidae. The record is from RNAcentral.